This 305-nucleotide ribosomal RNA is filed under the name uncultured bacterium. Its description in RNAcentral is "bacterial SSU rRNA". It matches the Rfam family "Bacterial small subunit ribosomal RNA", at positions 335 to 657 of the family's 1533-position model. The record is from RNAcentral.
GGGCCUACGGGACGCAGCAGUCGGGAAUAUUGCGCAAUGGAGGAAACUCUGACGCAGUGACGCCGCGUGCAGGAAGAAGGUUUUCGGAUUGUAAACUGCUUUAGACAGGGAAGAUAAUGACAGUACCUGUAGAAUAAGCUCCGGCUAACUACGUGCCAGCAGCCGCGGUAAUACGUAGGGGGCAAGCGUUAUCCGGAUUUACUGGGUGUAAAGGGAGCGUAGACGGCAGCGCAAGUCUGGAGUGAAAUGCCGGGGCCCAACCCCGGAACUGCUUUGGAAACUGUGCAGCUCGAGUGCAGGAGAGG